GCCUGGUACCCGAGGCCUUCCGAUGUUCAAAGAACGAAGGCCAGGCAUCGGAUGUCGAAUGGAUUCUUCCACUGAUCAAAAUACAAUAUGGAGGACUCAAUGAUGAAUUUCCAUACAUAUGGAAAGAAGAAACACCUGAUAGUAGAUGAAAAAACACCCUCAUAUAUAAUGCUUCAUGAAUAUGCAAAACCAUGCCAUAAGAUUCUACAGACUCCAGAUGGAAAAAGACAGAGAAAGAAAUUCUAAAGGGGUAUUCAAGGACCCAUCCUCCUCCAAACCAAUUCAUAUCGGAAGGAAUUAACAUCCAACUUGAAUGAAGAAUUACAGACUUCCAGAACAGGUUAACAACUAAAUCAAUUUGUUACAGUCUUAUUUCAAGUUUCCCACCUCUUACAGCAAUAACAAAAACAAUUAUAUCUGGCAUCUAAAGGUGUGAGAAGUUUAUCAUAUUCUAAAAUAUGUUCUAUUUGUUAGUGGAAGAAAUUCAAUCCCAUAUUGAUUAUAUUAGAUACUGACAAAUUCUGUAUUGAUAAAACACAAUAGUGAAAAAUGCAUGAUUUGUGUGUAUGGAAUGAACUGACCUACCUUGUUUUAUUUCAUGUGCAUCAUGCAAACCCUUUAAAAAAGGAGAAGCCAGAUCUUCAGAAGACUUCCUUGAAAAUGAGAAUUUUUUGAGUGGAAGUGAAGAAUAUGGCAUGCAUACAAGCAGACAUCAGCAUUCCCUCCCUCUUGUUUGUAUCAGAGGUGAGCUUUUUGAGAAAGACUUAUGGAGGAAGUUUGAGAGUGUCAGUUCUCAGAUCAAGAAGUUAGCUAACAGUAGGAGGAGUAGCAAUUCAUUCCACUGUAUGGCCAGAGAAAUAUAUGACAUAAAAGACCUAAAAAAGGAGAUUUGGCAUUGUUUCAUAUGGAAAUUGAAGAAUCUUUGAAAUGGAUACAUGCAACACAGACAUGUUUCAGUUACUUGGGGAUAAAACUUAUGAGGAAUUUUGCUAACUUUCAGAUGGGAAUGUGUUGCACAAGAAAUGCUUGAUCACAACCUUCUUUUCUUAGAAACCUUUUCUAUGCAAAUAAUUAUUUUAAAUGAAAUUUAGCUAUUUCAUUAGAUUAGUAAACAUGUUUUCUGUGCAAGUAUGUGUCUUUGACAUUAAAUGCU
This is a long non-coding RNA of Ostrea edulis (European flat oyster), 1153 nucleotides long. RefSeq lists it as uncharacterized. The record is from RefSeq and is a predicted model, not a curated record. The transcript has 4 exons. Lineage: Eukaryota; Metazoa; Mollusca; Bivalvia; Ostreida; Ostreidae.